AACGAACGCUGGCGGCAUGCCUAACACAUGCAAGUCGAACGAGACCUUCGGGUCUAGUGGCGCACGGGUGCGUAACGCGUGGGAACCUGCCCUUAGGUUCGGAAUAACUCCCCGAAAGGGGUGCUAAUACCGGAUAAUGUCUUCGGACCAAAGAUUUAUCGCCUUUGGAUGGGCCCGCGUUGGAUUAGCUAGUUGGUAGGGUAAAAGCCUACCAAGGCGACGAUCCAUAGCUCGUCUGAGAGGAUGAUCAGCCACACUGGGACUGAGACACGGCCCAGACUCCUACGGGAGGCAGCAGUGGGGAAUAUUGGACAAUGGGCGAAAGCCUGAUCCAGCAAUGCCGCGUGAGUGAUGAAGGCCUUAGGGUUGUAAAGCUCUUUUACCCGGGAUGAUAAUGACAGUACCGGGAGAAUAAGCUCCGGCUAACUCCGUG
Molecule: ribosomal RNA, 433 nt
Filed under: uncultured bacterium
Lineage: Bacteria
Description: partial 16S ribosomal RNA
Rfam family: Bacterial small subunit ribosomal RNA
Source: RNAcentral